RNAcentral lists this transfer RNA (73 nucleotides) under Pedetontus silvestrii. Its description in RNAcentral is "tRNA-Trp". The record is from RNAcentral. Lineage: Eukaryota; Metazoa; Arthropoda; Insecta; Archaeognatha; Machilidae.
AGGUUUUAAGUUAAAAUAAUUAAAACUAAUAGCCUUCAAAGCUGUAUAUACAAGUAAACCCUUCUAAACCUUA